AAGUUUUGGUCCUAAACUUGCCAUCGUUUAUAAUCAAAAUUAUACAUGCAAGCCUCCGCACACCAGUGAGAAUGCCCACACACCCCAAACAGUCAACUGGAGCAGGCAUCAGGAUACAACACACACCUUAGCCCAAGACGCCUUGCACAUGCCACACCCACACGGGCCCUCAGCAGUAAUUAACAUUAAGACAUAAGCGAAAGCUCGACUUAGUUAUGAUUAAGACGGCCGGUAAAUUUCGUGCCAGCCACCGCGGUUAUACGAAAGACCAAAAACAAUGGCCAGCGGCGUAAAGCGUGACUAGAGACACAAAAACAACUUAAAGGAGAACAGCUACCAAGUUGUAAAAAACCAACGUAUGCUAGAACAACAACAAUAAAAUGCCUUUAAAACCACUUCACCUCACGAAAGCCAAGAAACAAACUGGGAUUAGAUACCCCACUAUGCUUGGCCCUAAACAUAGACAGUAUGCACACAAUACUAUUCGCCAGAGAACUACAAGCGAAAAGCUAAAAACUCCAAGGACUUGGCGGUGCUUCAAAUCUACCUAGAGGAGCCUGUCCUAUAAUCGAUACCCCACGUUUCACCCAACCACUCCUAGCCAAUCAGCCUAUAUACCGCCGUCGUCAGCCUACCCUAUGAAAGAAAUAAAGUGGGCAAAAAAGUUACUAACUAACACGCCAGGUCAAGGUGUAGCACACGGAGCGGAAGAGAUGGGCUACAUUUUCUCAAAGAAAAAACACGAACAGUAAGCUGAAACACUUACUUAAAGGCGGAUUUAGCAGUAAAACAAGUAAGAAUACUUAUUUUAAACCCGCUCUGAAGCGCGCACACACCGCCCGUCACCCUCAUCA
Molecule: non-coding RNA, 854 nt
Filed under: Glaphyromorphus cracens (slender mulch-skink)
Lineage: Eukaryota; Metazoa; Chordata; Lepidosauria; Squamata; Scincidae
Source: RNAcentral